Molecule: ribosomal RNA, 164 nt
Filed under: uncultured Pseudomonas sp.
Lineage: Bacteria; Pseudomonadati; Pseudomonadota; Gammaproteobacteria; Pseudomonadales; Pseudomonadaceae
Description: partial 16S ribosomal RNA
Rfam family: Bacterial small subunit ribosomal RNA
Source: RNAcentral
UGGGGAAUAUUGGACAAUGUGUGCUGAAAGUCCUGUAUCCAGCCAUGCCGCGUGUAGUGAAGAAGGUCUUCGGAUUGUAAAGCACUUUAAGUUGGGAGGAAGGGCAGUAAGUUAAUACCUUGCUGUUUUGACGUUACCGACAGAAUAAGCACCGGCUCAACUCU